RNA transcript from Scylla paramamosain (green mud crab), 1398 nucleotides. It is a transcript of the gene named interleukin enhancer-binding factor 3 homolog, with no coding region annotated. NCBI's taxonomy places the organism in Eukaryota, Metazoa, Arthropoda, Malacostraca, Decapoda, Portunidae. The transcript has 8 exons. The record is from RefSeq and is a predicted model, not a curated record.
CACCACUGUCAUUACCAUCACCACCACCAGGAAAUGCACAAGGGAAAACUUGGAGGAUGUGAUUGAGGUGCAGGGUGUGGGUCAGGGGCAGAAGGUGACGUGCCAGAGUGACGUCACGUUCCCCCAAAUGCAGGCCGGCAAGUUUGCUGACGUCACCAGUCGUCAGUGCACGGCGGGUGCUGCAAGGGGAACUGCAGGAGGUGGACCUGUUCAGCAUCUCAUCCCUCCCUGCCCUCUCCCCUGACAGGAGCAUGCCAGACCCAGGGGUGCCCAAGGAAACGGUUGCGGUGGAAACUGGCGUACAGCUGUGCCUGAGCCUGCCGUGGACGCAUUUCCCAGCCCCCGAACUGAACGGUCAACCUGCCGCCAAUCUCAACUUCAACCAGAACAGCUCGGACACGGCUGGCCAGGACAACCACCGCAACACAGACAUGCAUGCACCUGAUAUGGACAUGAAAAUGGAGGGACAGGAGUCCCACGUGAUGGUGUCCGACAGGGAUGCCUCAGUGCAGGAGGGGGAACGGCAGGCAGAGACCCGCAAGCGCCCCUGGGAGAAGCCUGGAGAGUGGCCUGAGGCAGUGAGUGCUUGAGUGGAGCCUUCACACCACACCAGUUAACCGAGCCAAUGAAAGCAGAAUCAAACUUUCCAUUCCAGUCAACUGAACCUGUGAAAGUUCCCAAUCCGGCCAAGCAGGUCUCAGAAGGUGCGGCGUCCAUGCACCCCGUGAUGGUGCUGCACCAGAUGAAGCCUGGCCUGCUGUACAACACUAACCAGACCACCAGGGAUAACAAGCCUUUCUUCACCGUCACCGCCGACAUCGAUGGCAAGGAGUUCUCAGGCAAGGGGACAAAUGUGAAGAAAGCCAAGUUCUUCCUGGCCAACACAGCAAUACUGGGACUGUACGGGGUAGAAUCCACCUUGGAGAUCUCCGCUUAAUAGAAGUACUAGCUGCCUGGGUACUGGCGGCGGUGUGCGGGGCAGGCGGUCCCUCGCACACGUGGCUGUAGAGUCUGCUACGUGAUAAUGACAAAGUAGAUAGGUAGCUACAUAGCAUUUUAACCUGAAGUCCUGUCUGUGAGUGUUGUCUUGUAUGUUGCUGCUUGCUGAAGGCAGGGAAUGUACUGAACUGGACCUGAGUGGCUUAAGGCAAAACUCCUGUGGAAAGGAAGUGAUGGUCUGUGCUAAAUGUUGCAGUCUGACGAGUGACGUGGAAUUCAAUUUUUCCACGUGUAAAUUCUUCCAGUCCAGUGUUUACCUUUAUUUUGUUCCAGCUCUGUUACUUAGUGCCAGAGUUAGAAGACUGACAUUUAACGGAAUUCUUAUUUAUGAUUUUGACGUAUUUUCUUUUCCCAUUUAUUUACUUAGCCCAUGAAGUGUGGGUGCUCCUUGUAAAUGGU